AAGAUUUUAAAAGUCGAACAGACUUAACUUAUUAACCUCUACAUUAAUAAUUUAUCUUAAUUCAACAUCGAGGUCAUAAUCUAUUUUAUCAAUUUGGUCUCUCUAAAAUAAUUAUG
Molecule: ribosomal RNA, 116 nt
Filed under: Saissetia coffeae
Lineage: Eukaryota; Metazoa; Arthropoda; Insecta; Hemiptera; Coccidae
Description: partial 16S ribosomal RNA
Source: RNAcentral